UACGUAGGUGGCAAGCGUUAUCCGGAAUUACUGGGCGUAAAGCGUGCGCAGGCGGCUUCCUAAGUCAGAUGUGAAAUCCCCGGGCUUAACCUGGGAACUGCGUUUGAAACUGGGGGGCUAGAGUGCGGCAGAGGGGGGUGGAAUUCCACGUGUAGCGGUGAAAUGCGUAGAGAUGUGGAGGAACACCAAUGGCGAAGGCAGCCCCCUGGGCCAACACUGACGCUCAUGCACGAAAGCGUGGGGAGCAAACAGG
Molecule: ribosomal RNA, 253 nt
Filed under: uncultured bacterium
Lineage: Bacteria
Description: partial 16S ribosomal RNA
Rfam family: Bacterial small subunit ribosomal RNA
Source: RNAcentral